RNAcentral lists this ribosomal RNA (446 nucleotides) under Gloydius brevicauda (short-tailed mamushi). Its description in RNAcentral is "partial 16S ribosomal RNA". It matches the Rfam family "Bacterial large subunit ribosomal RNA", at positions 1951 to 2615 of the family's 2925-position model. The record is from RNAcentral. Lineage: Eukaryota; Metazoa; Chordata; Lepidosauria; Squamata; Viperidae.
CAAAGGUAGCGUAAUCACUUGUCUAUUAAUUGUAGACCUGUAUGAAAGGCAAAAUGAGAGCCCAACUGUCUCUUAUAACAAAUCAAUUAAACUGAUCUUCUAGUCCAAAAGCUAGAAUAUUUACAUAAGACCAGAAGACCCUGUGAAGCUUUAACUAACCUAUUAAACCUAAUAAUAACUACUUUCGGUUGGGGCGACCUUGGAAUAAAAAAGAACUUCCAAUCAUAUGACUUCUCAUAAAAUAAGGCAAACAAGCCACACUAGACCCAGUAUUACUGAUAAUUGAAAUAAGUUACUCCAGGGAUAACAGCGCUAUCUUCUUUUAGAGCCCAUAUCAAAAAGAAGGUUUACGACCUCGAUGUUGGAUCAGGACAUCCCAGUAAUGCAACCGUUACUAAAGGUUCGUUUGUUCAACGAUUAAUAGUCCUACGUGAUCUGAGUUCAAA